UGAAAAAUUGUUAUUUUUUACUUUAUCAAAACAAUUAUUGUAAUGUCAGAAUGUUCGUACAACAUUUUUCUAAAGCAUAGCAGUGUAGCCUGCUCUUUUUCGGAAAACGUCUCUUAUUACAGCAAUCUCUAGGCUUAUUCUGCCUAAAGUAUUAAGAUUAACGUAAUCUUUGAACUACCACUGGCCCUCUGUCCGAUCACAGACUGGGCAACUAUUGUUAAACGCCUCUGAUACCUCUAUAAAUGAGAUGAAAAUAACUCGAUGAUUGUUGAAUCUGUUUUAAUGCAAUGUAAUGUGGCCAUGUUUAAAGUUUAUUUUCCUUCAAAAUCAAUGAUCUGAGUUAAUCUUGUUCAUUUUCAGCGCUGUGCUCCACAAUUGUUACGGGCAGAAGUUAAAUGGUCCCAAAUCGCCGUGCUAGGAAUAGCUUGUUUUAUUGGCAUAGCUGCACUGAUAUCCAUUUUUGUUUUAUGCUGUGCAUACAACAGAUGGAAGAAAAUGAGGUGAUAAAUGGUCAACCGUAACUUUAUCACAACCAACUAAUUGUACGUAUUCUUUUACGUAGCCAUUAUUUUGAAACUUUCUUGCCGUACUUCUCUGGAUCUCACAAUCCUUGCCAAUUUUCAACCUUUUGUGUUAACGCAAAAUUGUUGCAUUGCAAAUUGUAAAAAUUGUAUUGCAAAAAUUAUUUGUGUACUAUGUUUCAAUAAGUUCUUGUAAUAAUCACAAAUACGUUUCAAAUUUACUUAUAAAAGGCUUAAGACAUCCUCUAUUAAUGUUCUUUUUACUAACCCUCUAUGGCUUUAUGUUACUUGUUUUGUAAAAACGCAUUUUUGGGUUUUUAAAAUUGCACUAUUCCUGUGAAGCAUGAUGUUGCAAAUUUUUAUCUCUGUCUUCUCUAUUGGAAAAAUGAUUACAAAAAUUUAUAAAGUUUUUCAGACUACGUUUUUACGAAAGCUACAGCAGAGAUUUGUAUGUCUCAGAAUCUGAGACCCAAAAUUAAUUCAUGCCAUAGAGGGUUAAUAUGGCCUUUUACUAUUUAAACUAUCAUUAUUAUGCCAUUAGUUUUUGGGCCAUUUUUUCCAUAGCUCAAAAGUUGAGAGAAUCUGUCUCAAUUUACAACCUUUGAUCAGGGAUCCAAUAAACCUAACCUACAAUUUUGAAAGCUACUAUAAGCAAUUAGGUAACAGACUUAAAUAGAGAGCAGAAAGAAAACCUUAGAAUUGUCUGCAGUCUAUUUGUCAAAAGCACUUACCAGGAAUUUUGAAACUCUGUAGGAGGACUAAGUAAAAUAGACAAAAAUGGACUGUUUUUUUAGCACAUAUUUUGUGAUCUCGGAAUGAGAACAAAACUGUAAGCCUCCUCUCUCCCCUUUUUCACUCCUACUGCUCCGUUUCUCUAUCUCAGUGCCCGCUCUUUCAAGUUGGAUGAGAGGUAUUUCCGUCAUCAGUUAGCUCUUUGUGCUCUUAUCAGUGAGCCACGUCAAUCUAAUGGAAAAUUGGCUUGUGUUUAGUUAUUUCCUUUUGAUUUAACAUGUUGGCAAUGGCGUCAGGUGCCAGCAACCAACAGUGAAUAUUGAGCUGUAUAAGCAGAAAUCCGUCCGUCCACAUGUUGUGAUCUCAUAGCU
RNAcentral lists this long non-coding RNA (1624 nucleotides) under Bemisia tabaci. Its description in RNAcentral is "lncRNA ENSSSA1NGG001944". The record is from RNAcentral. Lineage: Eukaryota; Metazoa; Arthropoda; Insecta; Hemiptera; Aleyrodidae.